CUUGCAUCUGAGUGAGAUUAAAUAGUAAUGCCUUAAGGUAAGGAGUGAUGUUUCAACUUUUGCUGUUUCUCCUUCACCAGCCUGGGAGCUCCCAUCGACCAUGGCAGUCCUACUUUGACUUGAUCUUGGUGGAUGCACGGAAACCACUCUUUUUUGGAGAAGGCACAGUACUGCGUCAGGUGGAUACUAAAACUGGCAAGCUGAAAAUUGGUACCUACACAGGGCCCCUACAGCAUGGUAUCGUCUACUCAGGAGGUAAGUCACAGACUUCCCUUUAUUUAAUGUCUUUGCUCAGACCUCACAGUGAAAGCUUUGGUAAUCUCUCAGCAAAGUGCCACAUAUACUGUUUAGUAGUCUAAGAUGUCAUCUACUGAAGGUAAAUAGUUUAGUCACCUCUUAAUGCAAUAGGAGUCUGGGUUUGAGCAGUUGUUAGUAUAUCCUAAUGAAUCUGAUUUUCACUAAAAUGAUCAGUUUUUUUUUUAAAUCCUAUUGGAG
This 495-nucleotide long non-coding RNA is filed under the name Homo sapiens (human). Its description in RNAcentral is "non-protein coding lnc-PCGF6-3:1". The record is from RNAcentral. Lineage: Eukaryota; Metazoa; Chordata; Mammalia; Primates; Hominidae.